GUUACGACUUAUCUCCAGAAGAGAGUGACGGAAUAUGAACCUGAUUUAUAACUGUUUCGAUUAAUGUCCUACACUUGGUUAAUUUUAUUCAAAGCAUUAGCUUCCCUAUUAAACUAGAUGUCAUUUGUAAAAUUUAAAUUGCUAUUUAUUUUUUGAAACCACACUUAAACCAUAAAAUAGUAAAUAACAUUGAGGAUUGUCAAGUUAAGGGCCAAAAUUCUCUAAUUUAAAUCACUAAUUUAGUUUGUUUUAUUACCUAGUAAAGUUUCAUACCUGGAUUCUAUCCCAGUUUUGCAAAAUUUUUAGCAUUUAGUAAUAGGAAAAAAAGUCUAUUUAAUAACAGAAAAGCAUAAUUCUA
RNAcentral lists this ribosomal RNA (358 nucleotides) under Cyclops vicinus. RNAcentral describes it as "partial 12S ribosomal RNA". Lineage: Eukaryota; Metazoa; Arthropoda; Copepoda; Cyclopoida; Cyclopidae. The record is from RNAcentral.